Molecule: ribosomal RNA, 371 nt
Filed under: uncultured bacterium
Lineage: Bacteria
Description: bacterial SSU rRNA
Rfam family: Bacterial small subunit ribosomal RNA
Source: RNAcentral
ACGAAGGGGGCUAGCGUUGCUCGGAAUUACUGGGCGUAAAGGGCGCGUAGGCGGAUCGUUAAGUUAGAGGUGAAAGCCCAGGGCUCAACCUUGGAACUGCCUUUGAUACUGGCGAUCUGGAGUACGGGAGAGGUGUGUGGAACUCCGAGUGUAGAGGUGAAAUUCGUAGAUAUUCGGAAGAACACCAGUGGCGAAGGCGACACACUGGCCCGUUACUGACGCUGAGGCGCGAAAGCGUGGGGAGCAAACAGGAUUAGAUACCCUGGUAGUCCACGCCGUAAACGAUGAGUGCUAGUUGUCGGCAUGCAUGCAUGUCGGUGACGCAGCUAACGCAUUAAGCACUCCGCCUGGGGAGUACGGUCGCAAGAUUA